Molecule: long non-coding RNA, 945 nt
Organism: Homo sapiens (human)
Lineage: Eukaryota; Metazoa; Chordata; Mammalia; Primates; Hominidae
Gene: HAGLR
Product: HOXD antisense growth-associated long non-coding RNA
Source: Ensembl
AAUGGGAGCGUGACGCGCGGCCGGUGGAGACUGCUCUUCGCCCACCUCCAGGACAGAUAAAGUUAUUCCUCUUCCCCUCUUCUGAGUCCUCUGCGCUUUCGGUUUGCUUGGCGCUGAUGUUAUCCCUCUUCUAAACCUAGAGCAGAUGUUUGGUUUUUUCCUUUCUUCCCCCUUUCCUAGGACUCAUGGAACUACAUCUUAUGCUGGUGUUCUUAAAAUACACCGGAAAGAACGGAGGUAAAAAUACUGGAGUGUUUCCUCCACACUGGAAAGAGAUCUGGGGACCCUUCACCUGCCUCUACUACUGCAAAUGAUUGGAUAUUCGUCUGACUUGGCUCUUCCCUAAUGUGUGGAACUAAUUUUGUUCACUCUGUUUCAUGCUGGACCUGGCCUGAAAAUGGGCCCUUAUAUUGUCUUUGCACUUUCCAACUUGCCAAGUUUCUGAAAGAAGGACCAAAGUAAUGCCAAGAACUCCCAGAUGAAGAGGACCUUCCUUAGACCUAUAACAGAUUCACUACUUGACUUCAGAGGGAAGUUUCAGCUAAUUCUCAGGAAAAGGUCAAAACAGGCCUGUGACUGUCCCUUGAAUACUGAAGGUAUAAACAAGCUUCUGGCUCCUCCAGGUCAAGCAGAGGAACACUUUUAUUAGAAUGAAGGGUUACUUCUUUGUUAUUCAAACACACACCCACACACAUCCUCUGUAGUCUCCCUAAUGAAAAACCUCAACAGAUGGAGAGCCUGAGCUCCCAAGUCCGCAGGCUGAGAAGAUGCACUUCACUCAAGGGCCAGUGGGCUGGUACAGACUAGGGAAGAGAAAAGGGACAAAGGCUGCUAGUAUAGGUAAUCACUAUCUUUUAAUACUCCUAACACAUAGAAAUUCGAAAAAUCUUGUUCAGCAAUGUUAGCAGCCUGUGAGCCUCGGAAACUAAUUUGGCUGAUGUGUCU